GACGAGUAGCAUGAAAUUUCCUGUAUUGAUUUUGGUCCUUCAAGACAAACAUCUCCUUGGAGCUGAUUCUGACUCAUAGUACAGUCCGGAAGAAAACAGUGCAGUGUUUACAAGAAGACAGUGUCUCGUCUCAUGUAUCGCCGCUGACCUUAAACUUUCGAAGAAGUUGAGGAUGACCUUCUGAUCUUCCUCCAUCCAUCUCCUAGCUCUCCAGAACCAUGGACACAGGUCCUCUGAGCACUCUAGCUGACAACUGGUCUUGUGCUGAAGGAUUGGUAAUUUGUCUUUAAAUCCUUCUUAGGGGCCUUUCCUAUAAUAGUAAGAACAAAAUAAUAGCCUUCAGCAUUUACAUAUCAGUUUGUAAUUUCUUGUAGAUUUUCAUAUCACCUAACUGUUUGAAUCCCCCGGAGAAAUCCUGUGAUGAAAUUCCGAUUAUUAUUCUAAUCAUUUCAGAGGCAAGACAUCUCUCCUCAAGGCUCUUGUCCUUAAGAUACUCCCCUCAGAAAGCCUCUGGGUCUACCCCGGAGCUCCAGACAUCUUUGUUGAAUUGAUAAAAUGCUGCUUGAUUUG
This 570-nucleotide long non-coding RNA is filed under the name Rattus norvegicus (Norway rat). RNAcentral's name for it is "long non-coding RNA NONRATT011000". Lineage: Eukaryota; Metazoa; Chordata; Mammalia; Rodentia; Muridae. The record is from RNAcentral.